GACGGUACUUGAUGAAUAAGCCACGGCUAAUUCCGUGCCAGCAGCCGCGGUAAUACGGGAGUGGCAAGCGUUAUCCGGAAUUAUUGGGCGUAAAGCGUCCGCAGGCGGCCCUUCAAGUCUGCUGUUAAAAAGUGGAGCUUAACUCCAUCAUGGCAGUGGAAACUGUUGGGCUUGAGUGUGGUAGGGGCAGAGGGAAUUCCCGGUGUAGCGGUGAAAUGCGUAGAUAUCGGGAAGAACACCAGUGGCGAAGGCGCUCUGCUGGGCCAUCACUGACGCUCAUGGACGAAAGCCAGGGGAGCGAAAGGGAUUAGAUACCCCUGUAGUCCUGGCCGUAAACGAUGAACACUAGGUGUCGGGGGAAUCGACCCCUCCGGUGUCGUAGCCAACGCGUUAAGUGUUCCGCCUGGGGAGUACGCACGCAAGUGUGAAACUCAAAGGAAUUGACGGGGGCCCGCACAAGCGGUGGAGUAUGUGGUUUAAUUCGAUGCAACGCGAAGAACCUUACCAGGGUUUGACAUCCUGCGAAUCUCUUGGAAACUUGAGAGUGCCUUCGGGAGCGCAGUGACAGGUGGUGCAUGGCUGUCGUCAGCUCGUGUCGUGAGAUGUUGGGUUAAGUCCCGCAACGAGCGCAACCCACGUCUUUAGUUGCCAGCAUUUAGUUGGGCACUCUAGAGAGACCGCCGGUGAUAAACCGGAGGAAGGUGUGGAUGACGUCAAGUCAUCAUGCCCCUUACAUCCUGGGCUACACACGUACUACAAUGCUACGGACAAAGGGCAGCAAGUUCGCGAGGACAAGCAAAUCCCAUAAACCGUGGCUCAGUUCAGAUCGUAGGCUGCAACUCGCCUACGUGAAGGAGGAAUCGCUAGUAAUCGCAGGUCAGCAUACUGCGGUGAAUACGUUCCCGGGCCUUGACACACCUGU
This 922-nucleotide ribosomal RNA is filed under the name uncultured bacterium. Its description in RNAcentral is "bacterial SSU rRNA". It matches the Rfam family "Bacterial small subunit ribosomal RNA", at positions 471 to 1394 of the family's 1533-position model. The record is from RNAcentral.